CCGAGGAGACUGCCAAACUUGGGACCGGGAGAGGCGAGAGGUUCUUCUGGGGUAGGGGUAAAAAUCCUGUAAUCCUAGAAGGACCACCGGUGGCGAAGGCGUCUCGCUAGAACGGAUCCGACGGUGAGGGACGAAGCCCUGGGUCGCAAACGGGAUUAGAUACCCCGGUAGUCCAGGGUGUAAACGCUGCAGACUUGGUGUUGGGGGCCCUACGGGGGCGUUCAGUGCCGGAGAGAAGUUGUUAAGUCUGCUACUUGGGGAGUACGUCCGCAAGGAUGAAACUUAAAGGAAUUGGCGGGGGAGCACCGACCAACGGGAGGAGCGUGCGGUUUAAUUGGAUUCAACACCGGAAAACUCACCAGCGGCGACUGUUACAUGAAAGUCAGGCCGAUGACCUUACUAGAUUUUCAGAGGAGAGGUGCAUGG
RNAcentral lists this ribosomal RNA (426 nucleotides) under uncultured archaeon. Its description in RNAcentral is "bacterial SSU rRNA". It matches the Rfam family "Archaeal small subunit ribosomal RNA", at positions 575 to 997 of the family's 1478-position model. The record is from RNAcentral.